Molecule: ribosomal RNA, 492 nt
Filed under: uncultured bacterium
Lineage: Bacteria
Description: partial 16S ribosomal RNA
Rfam family: Bacterial small subunit ribosomal RNA
Source: RNAcentral
AGUGAACGCUGGCGGUAGGCCUAACACAUGCAAGUCGAACGGCAGCACAGUAAGAGCUUGCUCUUACGGGUGGCGAGUGGCGGACGGGUGAGGAAUACAUCGGAAUCUACUUUUUCGUGGGGGAUAACGUAGGGAAACUUACGCUAAUACCGCAUACGACCUACGGGUGAAAUCAAUGGAUCUUCGGACCUUGCGCGAUUGAAUGAGCCGAUGUCGGAUUAGCUAGUUGGCGGGGUAAAGGCCCACCAAGGCGACGAUCCGUAGCUGGUCUGAGAGGAUGAUCAGCCACACUGGAACUGAGACACGGUCCAGACUCCUACGGGAGGCAGCAGUGGGGAAUAUUGGACAAUGGGCGCAAGCCUGAUCCAGCCAUACCGCGUGGGUGAAGAAGGCCUUCGGGUUGUAAAGCCCUUUUGUUGGGAAAGAAAAGCAGCAGGUUAAUACCCCGCUGUUCUGACGGUACCCAAAGAAUAAGCACCGGCUAACUUCGUG